GGGACACGUGGUAUCCUGUCUGAAUAUGGGGGGACCAUCCUCCAAGGCUAAAUACUCCUGACUGACCGAUAGUGAACCAGUACCGUGAGGGAAAGGCGAAAAGAACCCCGGCGAGGGGAGUGAAAAAGAACCUGAAACCGUGUACGUACAAGCAGUGGGAGCACGCUUAGGCGUGUGACUGCGUACCUUUUGUAUAAUGGGUCAGCGACUUAUAUUCUGUAGCAAGGUUAACCGAAUAGGGGAGCCGAAGGGAAACCGAGUCUUAACUGGGCGUUAAGUUGCAGGGUAUAGACCCGAAACCCGGUGAUCUAGCCAUGGGCAGGUUGAAGGUUGGGUAACACUAACUGGAGGACCGAACCGACUAAUGUUGAAAAAUUAGCGGAUGACUUGUGGCUGGGGGUGAAAGGCCAAUCAAACCGGGAGAUAGCUGGUUCUCCCCGAAAGCUAUUUAGGUAGCGCCUCGUGAAUUCAUCUCCGGGGGUAGAGCACUGUUUCGGCAAGGGGGUCAUCCCGACUUACCAACCCGAUGCAAACUGCGAAUACCGGAGAAUGUUAUCACGGGAGACACACGGCGGGUGCUAACGUCCGUCGUGAAGAGGGAAACAACCCAGACCGCCAGCUAAGGUCCCAAAGUCAUGGUUAAGUGGGAAACGAUGUGGGAAGGCCCAGACAGCCAGGAUGUUGGCUUAGAAGCAGCCAUCAUUUAAAGAAAGCGUAAUAGCUCACUGGUCGAGUCGGCCUGCGCGGAAGAUGUAACGGGGCUAAACCAUGCACCGAAGCUGCGGCAGCGACGCUUAUGCGUUGUUGGGUAGGGGAGCGU
RNAcentral lists this ribosomal RNA (820 nucleotides) under Escherichia coli. RNAcentral describes it as "partial 23S ribosomal RNA". It matches the Rfam family "Bacterial large subunit ribosomal RNA", at positions 419 to 1239 of the family's 2925-position model. Lineage: Bacteria; Pseudomonadati; Pseudomonadota; Gammaproteobacteria; Enterobacterales; Enterobacteriaceae. The record is from RNAcentral.